Molecule: unclassified non-coding RNA, 433 nt
Filed under: soil metagenome
Description: partial contains 5.8S ribosomal RNA, internal transcribed spacer 2, and large subunit ribosomal RNA
Rfam family: 5.8S ribosomal RNA (bases 1-120)
Source: RNAcentral
GAUGAAGAACGCAGCGAAAUGCGAUACGUAAUGUGAAUUGCAGAAUUCAGUGAAUCAUCGAAUCUUUGAACGCAUAUUGCGCUCUCUGGUAUUCCGGAGAGCAUGCUUGUUUGAGUAUCAGUAAACACCUCCACUUCCAUAUCUUUUUUUGAAAUGGGAGUUGGACUUGAGUGAUCCCAACGCUUUUCCUCACCGAAAAGUGGCGGGUUACUUGAAAUGCAGGUGCAGCUGGACUUUUCUCUGAGCUAUAAGCAUAUCUAUUUAGUCUGCCUAAAAAACAGAUUAUUACCUUUGCUGCAGCUAACAUAAAGGAGAUUAGUUCUUGUGCUGACUGAUGCAGGAUUCACAAAGACAGCUUCGGCCGACUUUGUAAACUCGAUCUCAAAGCAAGUAAGACUACCCGCUGAACUUAAGCAUAUCAAUAAGCGGAGGA